GCCUCCUAGCACCACACGUGAGACUGACGGCCGUUGACAACUGCCAUUUGGACCCUUUUCUGUGCGAAAAAUGUCAUUUUCCGACAAGACCAAGGCAUGUAUCUGAUCGUCAAUCCUCUGGCCACAGUCCCCCGGGUCAGGCUUUACAGCUGAUUGAACAAUUGGGCAAAGCUGUUUGAGUAUACAUAGGGAGACGUAUUCAGAACCCGCUGGCUGAGCUGGUGAAGACUGACCCAAACACAUCAGCAUUGGAAACUACCAGACCCAGACUGCUGCGUGGGCUGACCUCUCCAGACUGCUAGCCAAGACUGCUCUGGUCAGCCAGCCAGUCCCCCCGUCCC
This 341-nucleotide long non-coding RNA is filed under the name Salmo salar (Atlantic salmon). RNAcentral describes it as "lncRNA (ENSSSAG00000115356.1)". The record is from RNAcentral. Lineage: Eukaryota; Metazoa; Chordata; Actinopteri; Salmoniformes; Salmonidae.